GCGUUGUCCGGAUUUACUGGGCGUAAAGCGCACGUAGGCGGAUCGAUCAGUCAGGGGUGAAAUCCCAGAGCUCAACUCUGGAACUGCCUUUGAUACUGUCGAUCUGGAGUAUGGAAGAGGUGAGUGGAAUUCCGAGUGUAGAGGUGAAAUUCGUAGAUAUUCGGAGGAACACCAGUGGCGAAGGCGGCUCACUGGUCCAUUACUGACGCUGAGGUGCGAAAGCGUGGGGAGCAAACAGG
Molecule: ribosomal RNA, 239 nt
Filed under: uncultured bacterium
Lineage: Bacteria
Description: partial 16S ribosomal RNA
Rfam family: Bacterial small subunit ribosomal RNA
Source: RNAcentral